AUGGCAGUUGAGACCCUCUUCUCUUCAGCGGGGAGACGGUUGGAAACCCGUCACUCUUCCUCGACGACGGCUGCACCGCAGGCUUCCUCGUCGGUCAUGACCCGCCCCAUGGGCCCUGCCAUUGGACGCCUCCUCCCCCUCCUCCCCCUCCUCCUUUUGAUUGGCGGCUGUGUGGCGACAGCAGGAGGUCAUUCUGGCAUCAAACCCAGAGCUGUACGUUCGAGUGCCUGUCAGGACCACAGCAAACUCCAUAACCGCCUGGAUAUAGUGGAGAAGAAAGUUGAAGACACAGUGGAGAAGUUGGAAGACGAGCUGGCCAUUCUUCUGGACGCCAUCGAAGCCCCGGAGUGGGGCCCUCUACUGGACAUUACCGGGACACCAUCGGUGGACAUCCUCGAUGGACACGGAGAAAUUGCCCCGUUUGAUACGAAAUAAUAACGAUACGAGUAUAGACAUUGG
RNAcentral lists this long non-coding RNA (459 nucleotides) under Gadus morhua (Atlantic cod). RNAcentral's name for it is "lncRNA (ENSGMOG00000036618.1)". Lineage: Eukaryota; Metazoa; Chordata; Actinopteri; Gadiformes; Gadidae. The record is from RNAcentral.